GACGAACGCUGGCGGCGUGCUUAACACAUGCAAGUCGAACGGAAAGGCCCCUUUGGGGGUACUCGAGUGGCGCACGGGUGAGUAACACGUGAGUAACCUGCCCUUGACUUCGGGAUAACUUCAGGAAACUGGGGCUAAUACCGGAUAGGAAUCCUUGCUGCAUGGUGGGGGUUGGAAAGCUUCGGCGGUUUUGGAUGGACUCGCGGCUUAUCAGCUUGUUGGUGGGGUAGUGGCUUACCAAGGCUUUGACGGGUAGCCGGCCUGAGAGGGCGACCGGCCAAUUGGGGCCGGGGUAAGGGCCAGGACCCCAAGGGGGGCAAGAAGGGGGAAUAUUGCACAAUGGGCGGAAGCCUGAUGCAGCAACGCCGCGUGCGGGAUGACGGCCUUCGGGUUGUAAACCGCUUUCAGCAGGGGCGAAGCUUGUGGUGACGGUACCUGCAGAAGAAGCACCGGCUAACUACGUG
RNAcentral lists this ribosomal RNA (464 nucleotides) under uncultured bacterium. RNAcentral describes it as "partial 16S ribosomal RNA". It matches the Rfam family "Bacterial small subunit ribosomal RNA", at positions 28 to 507 of the family's 1533-position model. The record is from RNAcentral.